GCCCACGUAGCUCAGUUGGUAGAGCACGUCCUUGGUAAGGACGGGGUCACCGGUUCAAGUCCGGUCGUGGGCUCCA
This 76-nucleotide transfer RNA is filed under the name Acidobacteria bacterium RIFCSPHIGHO2_01_FULL_67_28. Its description in RNAcentral is "tRNA-Thr". It matches the Rfam family "tRNA". Rfam says of the family: Transfer RNA (tRNA) molecules are approximately 80 nucleotides in length. Their secondary structure includes four short double-helical elements and three loops (D, anti-codon, and T loops). Further hydrogen bonds mediate the characteristic L-shaped molecular structure. tRNAs have two regions of fundamental functional importance: the anti-codon, which is responsible for specific mRNA codon recognition, and the 3' end, to which the tRNAs corresponding amino acid is attached (by aminoacyl-tRNA synthetases). tRNAs cope with the degeneracy of the genetic code in two manners: having more than one tRNA (with a specific anti-codon) for a particular amino acid; and 'wobble' base-pairing, i.e. permitting non-standard base-pairing at the 3rd anti-codon position. Lineage: Bacteria; Pseudomonadati; Acidobacteriota. RNAcentral also lists the same sequence under 4 other names. The record is from RNAcentral.